UCCUCUUAGUGGUGAAUCACUUGGCUUGUGCAGAGAUGAAGGACUGAGCUAGCUGUGAGGACUAAUGUGAACUGUAGGACACACUGAUCAUCGACACCUUGAACCCUCUUUGUGUCUCCGGCCCCCGAUGACGAUGGCCCAAAAAACCUUU
The sequence is a ribosomal RNA, 151 nucleotides long. It matches the Rfam family "5.8S ribosomal RNA". Rfam says of the family: 5.8S ribosomal RNA (5.8S rRNA) is a component of the large subunit of the eukaryotic ribosome. The record is from Ensembl.